RNAcentral lists this ribosomal RNA (253 nucleotides) under uncultured bacterium. RNAcentral describes it as "partial 16S ribosomal RNA". It matches the Rfam family "Bacterial small subunit ribosomal RNA", at positions 524 to 776 of the family's 1533-position model. The record is from RNAcentral.
UACGGAGGGUGCGAGCGUUGUCCGGAAUCAUUGGGCGUAAAGGGCGCGUAGGCGGCUUGGCAAGUGGAUGGUGAAAUCCCUCGGCUUAACCGAGGAACUGCCAUCCAGACUGCUUUGCUUGAGGCCGGGAGAGGUGAGUGGAAUUCCCAGUGUAGCGGUGAAAUGCGUAGAUAUUGGGAGGAACACCAGUGGCGAAGGCGGCUCACUGGACCGGUUCUGACGCUGAGGCGCGAAAGCGUGGGGAGCAAACGGG